This 360-nucleotide ribosomal RNA is filed under the name Triticum aestivum (bread wheat). RNAcentral's name for it is "partial small subunit ribosomal RNA". Lineage: Eukaryota; Viridiplantae; Streptophyta; Magnoliopsida; Poales; Poaceae. The record is from RNAcentral.
AUGAGGAUCGCGUACCUACGCGCGCACUGCUGGCACGUCGUGGUGCUCGCCGACGUCGUGGCCGUGUCCUUCCCGGUCUCUGCUGCAUUGGCCCCGCACUUGCACCCCGGCAGAGGCCAUUCGCAGCAGCGCGCCGAGCUUGAGCAGAGGAGAAUAGCACAAGAUGGCAGCCAACGUACGACGACAAUAGACCCAGAGUCUGGCAGCCAAUAUAUAGCGACGUUCUUCUUGUUUGAGGCCAAGCUAGUGCAUGAGCUCCGGGCGCGGUUGGAAAUGGAGGGCCUUCUGAUUAUUUUGCUCACUAUUGUGUUGUUAUGCAUUAGCACAGAGCACAACAAGGACGAGAGUCAUCAUGUGUGA